Molecule: ribosomal RNA, 465 nt
Filed under: Vreelandella stevensii
Lineage: Bacteria; Pseudomonadati; Pseudomonadota; Gammaproteobacteria; Oceanospirillales; Halomonadaceae
Description: partial 16S ribosomal RNA
Rfam family: Bacterial small subunit ribosomal RNA
Source: RNAcentral
CCUACGGGAGGCAGCAGUGGGGAAUAUUGGACAAUGGGCGAAAGCCUGAUCCAGCCAUGCCGCGUGUGUGAAGAAGGCCUUCGGGUUGUAAAGCACUUUCAGUGGGGAAGAAAGCCUUGGGGCUAAUACCCUCGAGGAAGGACAUCACCCACAGAAGAAGCACCGGCUAACUCCGUGCCAGCAGCCGCGGUAAUAUGGAGGGUGCGAGCGUUAAUCGGAAUUACUGGGCGUAAAGCGCGCGUAGGCGGUCUGAUAAGCCGGUUGUGAAAGCCCCGGGCUCAACCUGGGAACGGCAUCCGGAACUGUCAGGCUAGAGUGCAGGAGAGGAAGGUAGAAUUCCCGGUGUAGCGGUGAAAUGCGUAGAGAUCGGGAGGAAUACCAGUGGCGAAGGCGGCCUUCUGGACUGACACUGACGCUGAGGUGCGAAAGCGUGGGUAGCAAACAGGAUUAGAUACCCUUGUAGUC